This 291-nucleotide ribosomal RNA is filed under the name Boophis reticulatus. Its description in RNAcentral is "partial 16S ribosomal RNA". It matches the Rfam family "Bacterial large subunit ribosomal RNA", at positions 2213 to 2567 of the family's 2925-position model. The record is from RNAcentral. Lineage: Eukaryota; Metazoa; Chordata; Amphibia; Anura; Mantellidae.
CCCACUUAUUUAACACCUUCUUAUCCGCCUGGCCCCUGUCUGCUCGGUUUUGGGUUGGGGUGACCGCGGAGCAUAAAAUAGCCUCCACGAAAGAAGGGAUGAUUCCCUCAUUUUAGAACUACACUUCCAAAGACUAACAAAUUAAUUUUAAGUGAUCCGAUACCCGUAUUCGAUCAACGAACCAAGUUACCCUGGGGAUAACAGCGCAAUCUACCUCAAGAGCCCCUAUCGACAGGUGGGUUUACGACCUCGAUGUUGGAUCAGGGUAUCCCAGUGGUGCAGCAGCUACCA